ACAAGCGGUGGAGCAUGUGGUUUAAUUCGAUGAUACGCGAGGAACCUUACCUGGGCUCAAAUGUAUGUUGACGUAUUCUGAAAGGGAUACUUCUUCGGACAAUAUACAAGGUGCUGCAUGGUUGUCGUCAGCUCGUGCCGUGAGGUGUCGGGUUAAGUCCCAUAACGAGCGCAACCCCUAUCAUUAGUUGCCAUCAGGUCAAGCUGGGGACUCUAAUGAAACUGCCUACGCAAGUAGUGAGGAAGGUGGGGAUGACGUCAAAUCAGCACGGCCCUUACGUCCAGGGCUACACACGUGCUACAAUGGCCGAUACAGAGGGCAGCUACCUGGUGACAGGAUGCAAAUCUCCAAAGUCGGUCUCAGUUCGGAUCGGAGUCUGCAACCCGACUCCGUGAAGUUGGAUUCGCCAGUAAUCGCGCAUCAGCCAUGGCGCGGUGAAUACGUUCCCGGGCCUU
RNAcentral lists this ribosomal RNA (455 nucleotides) under uncultured Sphingobacteriales bacterium. RNAcentral's name for it is "bacterial SSU rRNA". It matches the Rfam family "Bacterial small subunit ribosomal RNA", at positions 925 to 1382 of the family's 1533-position model. Lineage: Bacteria; Pseudomonadati; Bacteroidota; Sphingobacteriia; Sphingobacteriales. The record is from RNAcentral.